UGGGGUUGUUGGUGGUAGGUGGAUGGUUGGACUAGGUGAUCUUGUAGGUCUUUUCCAACCUAGCUCAUUCUAUGAUUCUAUGAUACUUGAAGGCUGAAGAGUCUCUGGCAGUGAAGUUUUCCAGUGUGCUGCAAACCAUUCCUUGGUUGUUGCGAUAAAGAAACUGUGAGGAUGGUAAGAAAUAAGACGUUCAUUUUAAACAAAAAAAAAAGCCAACAACUGCUAGCAGUAAUAAAAUUGGAGCAAGUAGAUAUUCCUUUCCAGAGCAGAAGGGAAUCACUUAAGAUCUGUGUUUAAUGGAGUUCUGUAGGAAUAUCCAGCUGUAUGCUAAUAACCUUCCAUCAUCAUCCCCAGGAGAUGGGCUUGUUUUUCCCAGUGUCCAUGGCUCAGUACCUGCUGGCAAUGACGUGUGACCACCUUCUGCAAGGGAGACAUGUCUUUGUUUCAGGGUCAGCCAUAAUUUCCAGUGAUGCAGCAGUAUAGCUGCUAGCUUGGAGCACAAGCACGAAGCAGCUGUAAGUCUCCAUGUACAUUUGAAGAAAGUAAGGCUGUUGGUGGCUCAUCUACUGAGAGUGAGAGUAACGACAGUGAGCAUGGCUGGGCUCUGUCGUGCCCUCUGCCGGGGUGCUAACAGGCGUAGUAGUGUGCUGCAUCUCAGAGUUACUCAGCAGAGACGUUUGGAUACUGGGGUGGCAGAAGUAGAUCCUAGCACCUGUAAAGUGAAAACGGGUUAUUACUUCUAUUGCAUGUUUUAUAUAUGUAUUUAUGUACUCUCAUUUUACUUUUUUUCCUAACAAAGCAUAACCUGGAAUGGAUGUUUUCCCCGGAGUGUUGUUACUUUGUAAGCACUAGAUGGUGCCACAGAGCAGGCAAAGGGUUUUCCUCUGCAGCCAGAGAGUGGCUAGGAUAGAUUUUACAUUUAAAUAUGCUCAAAGUAUUGAUUUUGUUAGAAACUACUACUGCUACUCAUCACUUGCAGCACCUGCCUAGAUGUCUGAAUCUACACAGUUGGUGCCAUGCUCCUCACUCAGACUGAGGGCAAAUCCUUUGUGAUAGCAUGGCUGCAUUGGGUGCUAAUGCGUGAGGCAAGCACCACACAGCCUUGCUCCUUUCUUCCCAUCUUCUUAAUGCGCUGAUAUGCAUCUCCUUCCUCCGUGCCAGUGAUUUAUCCCAGAACAAAUGGACCCCUCCAGAGGCUCAAAUCCCAGCUGUGGAGGAUAGAACCUUCCUCUCCUCUUAGCAUGGCCCUGGGAAAUCAGGUGAUGAAGAGCCAGGUUACAGAAAACAGGCAGAUGAAGAGUACAUAAAGCAGUAGCCAGUGUGCAGUUUAACUUGAUAAUGGAGAUCUUGAACUCUGAGCUGACUCUCAUGCAGCUGUAACCCUCCUUGCAGCCACUACUUCAUACGCAGUGCCUCAGACAAAAUACAGUGCACAAGUUGGGAGGGGAGAAAAAGCUAAGUGAAAAUGGACCAAGUGAGGAAGUCAGCCAUAAUGCAGCAGCGCGUUGGCUGCUGGAAGAGAGGGCUUCUCCUGGAAUUUGCCAAAAGGACUCAGCUUCAGAUAAAUGCCAUUUUCUGUUUCAUCUGCAAGGUGAGGAGAGAGGGAUGGGACCACUAUGAAGGCAGAUUGUUUGCACAGUUCUUUUUCCUUGUUUUUGCACCUUUGCUGUUCUUCCUUGACUGUAUCAUGUUGCUAACAGCUUUUUGUAUUACCUUUUUUUAGAUUGUCAGUAAUACAGAAUGUAAUAAUUCCCAAACUGGUGCAUCAUUUAUAGGGAGAAAAGCCUGUGACUGUUGUUUUCCUUAUAGCUUGUUACAUCAUGAAUAACGCUGAAUACCAUUUGUGGUAUUGUUUUGUUAUAACAAAAAUACUGACUGCUUUUACAUGCAGAUAUUGCAGUUACUACCACUCUCUUCUUUAUGGACCAGAAGGUGGGAUAUGUUAGUAAAUAGAUUCAAGAUGACCAAAGCAUGAAAAGAGACAAAGAAGGUAGUGUGAGAUCUGGAAAAGAGUGGAUACAGAAAGAAGACAGCAUGGAGGUUUCAAGACCAGUGCUCCAAGUACUCUUUGCUCUCUUAUGAUGUCCUGAGUGUAGGUAUGAAGAAAGGUAGUGAAACAACUGGGAAAUUUAUGUGCAGUUUGACAAAUAAGAGUGUUGUUAGAGCCAUAAUGUAAAUCACAUGCAUGUUUUACACAAGUCAUCAAACAAGUUGCUAUUUUUGUCAGAAAUGUGAAGGGAUUUUGAGUGUCUCUAACACUUACACUACAAUGUGUUAGGGGAAAGUAUUUUUUAUGCUGUCCCUUCAGCUACUGUCAAAUUUAUGCUACUUUAAUCAAAUAAGUUUCUUCAGUGAAGUAUCCAGAUGUACAGCAAGCAGGUAGAGAAUCUAAAGAAGUGGGAUCCUGCUAUCUGCUGCAUUGUUUCCUUUCUCCAUUUGGCAAGUGUAUAUAUUUUGUCUUUGCUGCAGCAGCAGGAGUAUAUCUUGAAUCAUUGGUAUUUUUGAGUCGUUGGUAUUUACCGUUUUUUUUUUUUCAGUUUGCCAUGAGGGGAAACUAAGCCAUUGCUCUGGUAGGAUAUUCCAGUAAAUCUUUGCUCUUUCCAGUAUUUUUUUUCUUGGGUCUCAAACAUGUUAUUAAAACCAUUGCUUUUAAUGGAUGCACUGCCAAACUUGGUUUGUACUCAUCGAAGAGAAACAAGAAAUAAAAUGAAUGUACUGUUAUAAGGCUGGAGUUGAUAGAGAGCUACUGGUCUCUGUCAGCCAUCCAGGGUGUGCUGUGCUCUGGUGACAACUACGCCAGCAUGUUGGUACUGCUUUUGUUUUUUUUUUUGUCCUCAACCAAAUAUCUCAUUCACCCAUUAUUUAUAUGUAAUCAUUAGAUUUAGGUCAUGUCCACACUGAGAGUUGUGGUGGAUUAAAUGAAGGCUUGAACUUAAAAUAUACAAACUAUUCUGCAGUAACUUUCCAUUCUGAAGCAGACUUUUAAGUGCUGUCAUAUAUCACUGAACUCUUUCUCUGACUGAGGAAUUCACGCUCCUUUGAAUUAACUGUGAUGCGGUUCAUAAUAUAGCAUGUGUCAUCUGAUAUGUAAGUACAUGUUGAGAUGGCUGGGUAAAUGCAAGUUAGUUGCUUAAAAUAUGAAUGUAAUGUUUCUCAUUAGUCUUCUAACUUAUAUCAAUGCACUUAUUAGUGUCUUUGGCUCUUUUCCCAGUUUUCCUAAACAUAAUCUCUAAACGGCAUUUAAAGAUGAUGAUGAUCUUGGUAUCCAAGUAAAUUGCUGAAAAUCCCUGGCAGUGAUUUAUUCCUCCGAUGAAGAUCUGAGUUACUCCUAGGCAGCUGUGGUGCGUUUUUUGUUCAGACCAUCAAUCUCUAAAUUACUUUUGCCCCUAUGCUUCAUUUUGAGACGACACAUUACAUAUCAACUUUUUGAGCCAGACUGUGCUAUUUCAUGGCUCUCCAGGCCUUCCAGGCUUUCUUGGAUGAGCGACUGGCAGCUCCCAGCCCUUUCACGACCUCUCACAACCAGGCUGCCAUCGGGUUGUUCCCAGCAGAAGUCAAGGACAAUGGUUGAUUAUAAUCUCAUUUCUACUGGUUGAACUCUUUCAUCAAAAGGUCUCAGUGGCAAGAAUGAGAGGCUUGCUGCAGGGUCUGGAAGGUAUGCGUCCGAGCUGCGUAAGGUUAGAACUGUCAAGGGCUAGAAUGUCUGUCACUGGCAGGAGUGGAUGAAGCACUGCAGCAGUCUGCACAGAUCUGCCCACAACAGUGGCUGCACGUACUUCAAAAGAUCACUGUCCUGAAAGGACGGAAGAGAGCCAAAAUAAAUAAAACUAUGAUUUUGUAUUUCAUCAGUGAUGCAAUCUUUGUAUUUUGUAAUUAUGGAUGUACCAAAUUAAUGUUGAGAUUGCAGAGGUGGGAGCAAAUCCUGAAGUCUUGUUCUGGAUCUGAGUCAAGAAUUGAAUGUCCCUGGGGUUCAGAGUGGGAGAUAAGUUGGAAUCCAGCAUUCUCCAAGUGCACAUCAAGUUGGAGCAGUAAACUGCCUUUCUCCCUGCUUCGUGUACUCGCCUACAUAGUGCAGCUGAUCCUCAGCUGUGUGCAAGGCACAGAUCCUCCCCACUCAGGGCAAAAGCAUCUGCUUUCUUCUUCUGUCAGAGCAUUGAAGCACUGGUUCCUGUUGCUGGAUAUCACAGAAAGAGACAAGUGGACUGUAUGACUUGUGUGGACAAGGGUGAUCUUGAAAGUGAAGAACAUGCUCUGCAAAGGUUUGCUGAGAUAUUUUAUCCUUUCUGAUGAGUUUCAAUAUUUGUUUAGGCCUCUCAUUAUCAGUACUGGACAGGCAAAGUAUCACUGAGAAAGGACAAUACUGUCUUGCUCCUUUGAGAGGAGCAGGCACAGUUGAAGAGGAGGAUGCGCAGGCAUGGGGUAAGGCAGCAUUAUAGCAGCCCUGCAUUCUCCUAAUUUUAAACGAUAAGAUUUCCACUCUAUUGCAAUGUUCUUGAUGCUCCCAUCCUGAAGAGGGGGAGGACAGGAGCCAUUCAGUUGUCAUCUGCAUGUGUCCACAAAUCAUGCAAGCCAUCAAGUUUUCUUUAACUCAAUUUGAAGAGUAGGGAUGGUAUCCAGUGUUCCUGAGCUUUAGAGACACGCUCAAACUCUCUCGGGACUGUGGGGUAAUUGCCAUGUGUACAAAGAUGAGAUAGCAAGCUAUGAGAGGUGUGGUGUUCCUGCUGCUGCUUUGAGUUUGUGGAGAGCCAACAUACAGCUCUUAAUCCAUGUACUUGGAAAGAUGUUUAUCAGCAAAAGUACUUCUUGCUUCUGUCUUUUCAUCCUACUUCACUUAGUUUUGGGUGCUGAGAGGCACAGGCUUAUAAUGCCUUAAAAAUUUUUAACUGGGACUGGUGGCUGAGAAGCAGUGUGACCAAAUGACGGCAGUGCAGCUAGAGACUUGCGGCAUCCUUCAGACUUGCUCCCCUGAGGAAAGAGAACUCCCAUUCAUUUUAAUGCAUCUACUUCCUCAGGUAAAGCUGCCUUGUAAAAUUAAUGGCGGGUGGUCAGCAUCUUUCCAUUGACCUGUAUGGCCAACAGAAAGAGGCACAUAAUGCUCUAGGGGCUUCUCUUAUAAAUAAAUAAAUGAAAUCUUAUAGGACUGAGUAGUCCCUUGAUCUGAAAGACCUUUUCUUUUGCUCGCCCACUCCACCUUCCUCCCUUCAGCCCCUGGAAGGAGAUACAGCUCUGAAAUCAAGACAGGGUUCUGUGAGAAGCUAUGCUCCUCAUAUGGGGCAGCUGAAGGAGUCUAGCAUCUGAUAGUAAUUGAUUAGUAAAUUAAAUUUUAACAACCUAGAGGCUGCACAUGGUCCAGCCCUGCUCCUCUAAUAUAAAUCAUUCAGAUUUGCAAAUAUGAAACACAUGUUUUCUGUCUGACCUUGUCUUUUAUGGAGUAGUGAAGAUUGCAAAUGCAGAUGCUCAGGUUCGUCUGCUUUCUUGGCUGCUGAGGCCAUAAAUGGCAGCUUUGCUGUCUGAGCCCACGUUACAUUGACAUUGCUUUGCAAACUGGAGAACAAAUACAGCACCAGGCACUGAAGCUGGGUUGGAUCCUGCUCAAACAGCUUUGCUCCCUUUAGUCCUUGUUCACCUGGAGCAGGAUGGUAACCCCAGUACUGCAGCACAGCUCCAUCUCCUCUCCCCACCGUAGGCAGGAGGAGGACACAGACUGCCUCUGUAACACAGCCAGCAGCAGAAGGCAGUCACCUGCCGUCUCUGCCUGCAGCAAACUGUGGGUUUUGCCUGUUUCCUAACUGGCCUGGCUUAAACCCAGCAGCCUUGAGGCAUGCAGUGUCUGACAGCUGGGGCUGGGUAGGUCCUUUCUCCAAGCUCCUUAUUUUAGCUGUAAGCUCUGAUGUGGACUUGGGCUUCACCAUCACUUACACCAGUCAACUUUUUCCUGCAGGUAUUUAAUAACCGGCUUAAUGAACAAUUGAAGACAGUUUUCCCCUGGAGGACUGAAGCCAGCCUGCUUUUAUUCCCCUCCCCCCCACC
Long non-coding RNA from Numida meleagris (helmeted guineafowl), 6030 nucleotides. RefSeq lists it as uncharacterized. The record is from RefSeq and is a predicted model, not a curated record. The transcript is spliced from 3 exons. NCBI's taxonomy places the organism in Eukaryota, Metazoa, Chordata, Aves, Galliformes, Numididae.